Molecule: long non-coding RNA, 109 nt
Organism: Myotis davidii
Lineage: Eukaryota; Metazoa; Chordata; Mammalia; Chiroptera; Vespertilionidae
Exons: 3
Source: RefSeq, a predicted model, not a curated record
CCUCUGAAUCUCAGUAUUUGGGGGCUGGUGCCAUUUUUGGGCUCAGCCCAUCUGUUUUGCAGAUGACCUAAUAAAUUUAUAAAUCUUUACCAAAAAAAAAAAUCAAACA